ACAAGCCUGAGAAACGGCUAGUAGGACUAAGGUCUGCAGCAGGCGCGAAGCUUACACAAUGCUAGAUUGAAAUUAGCGAUGUAGUGAAGAAAAAUAACGAUGCGCUUUCAUUAAAACAUGAUAGCGCAAUUGGAAUGAGACGACUAUAAACCAGUUAGUCGAGUAACAAAUGGAGGGCAAGUCUGGUGCCAGCAGCCGCGGUAAUUCCAGCUCCAUUAGCAUACAUUAAAGUUGUUGCGGUUAAAAAGCUCGUAGUUGAAUUUAAGGCGGGCCUGUGGCGGGGCGGUCGCGAAGGGAUAGAUUCGCUCUAUCCUGGCCGCUCGCUUGCCGUAGGGCCCGCUGUUUCGUCACUUAAUCGAGUGCGAAGCGGGGUGGAAUCGCCAAUUCGUUGGCCGAUCUCACCAAGCUUACCUUGAGAAAAUUAGAGUGCUCACGGCAGGCAGUUGGGGUGUAAAAGCCCCUUUAUGCUUGAAUAAUGUUGCAUGGAAUAAUAGAAUACGGCCUCGGUUCUAUUCUGUUGGUCUUAUAGAACAACAAACAAGUUGGCUUGGGCGUCAAGGGGGUUGUUUUAGCGGGGCCUUGUUGAAAGCUUGUUGCCUUUGGGUAAAACCAAAGAGCCAUCUUUCAGCCGGCUAUCCAAACUGCUCUAGCAGCCUCCGCCCAGCAGCCAACUGAGGCAAUGGUUAAAAGAAAUAGUCGCGGCGGCAUCAGUACUGCAUCGUGAGAG
This 727-nucleotide ribosomal RNA is filed under the name Notallus sp. 18sr71. RNAcentral's name for it is "partial 18S ribosomal RNA". It matches the Rfam family "Eukaryotic small subunit ribosomal RNA", at positions 389 to 910 of the family's 1831-position model. Lineage: Eukaryota; Metazoa; Arthropoda; Arachnida; Trombidiformes; Eriophyidae. The record is from RNAcentral.